This is a long non-coding RNA of Benincasa hispida (wax gourd), 993 nucleotides long. RefSeq lists it as uncharacterized. The record is from RefSeq and is a predicted model, not a curated record. NCBI's taxonomy places the organism in Eukaryota, Viridiplantae, Streptophyta, Magnoliopsida, Cucurbitales, Cucurbitaceae.
UUUAUUUUCCUUUUUCUUUCUGUUCCCUUCCCUUCUUCUUCCAGUCGUCGACACCCUCCUCCCUCAAAAUUUUUCUUCCUCGCUGUCAAGCCUUAAUCAGCCUCCAGUCUUCUUCUUCCGGUUAUGAAGAGUCGACGUCGCACCGCUCCCAAUCGACGCCUCAGACCGCUGCGCGUCCAUCCGAAGCAGUGCGCCACUCUUCGUCUGCGUUUUGAAGCCACCGGCGCUGUUAGCCCCCGCCGCGCCAGAUCCGAAUUUCACCAGCUCUGACUUCAGCGCCAGCCACUCCCUCACCCAGUCGAAGCCCGCGCCUCCUCGCUUUUCCAUUCACGAGUGCCAACCCGAGCAACAGUCCUCCGUUCACUAUUGCACUGCCCAGUCGAGGGCGUUGUCUUGUCUGUUAGUCAUGCGUCAGAUCCGUCAAUCAUGGGUCUACCGCCACUGACCAGAUCCGUCCAGCCCAGAUCUGCUUCAUCUCACCAGAUCCAGCCGCACCAUUGCCGGUUGCCGUCGUCCCUACCUCGUCGGGUCCACUUUGUUUUGAUUGGAUUUCUUGAGGAUUUUGAACAAUCACUAGAGUUUGACCUUGAUUUAUUGGUAUUCGUCAUAUUUUGGAUGUUAGGACAAAAUUUUAGGUUGUUGAAGUUGUCGUCCAACCGAUUAAGGUGUAGUCGAUGAAUCUUGGUGAAGGGUUUGGAUCUUGAGGUUUCCUGGAGUCUUUGUUUUGGGUGAUUUAAGUUUGAUCCUGUGGGUUUUUGAUUUCGUUGGGCAAGGAAGAGGUUGAGUUUGCUAGUUUCUAGAGUUUGCGAUUAGAGGUAAGGGUAGAGAUGCAUCGGCGAUUGAUUAGCGCAAUUCGUGAUCGAGCUACUGGGACCAGUUUUAUGCUUCCUCUCAUGAGAUUUAUAUUUCUUUUCAUGUUUUUUUCAAUUUUCAGUUUUGAUGUUUGAAACUUACUGAGAAUUGUUUUCAGACUUAUUUAUUAUCAUUUAUGAU